CCUGGUCUUCUUAAAUCAAACCAUGCUGGCCGUACCGGCUUGUGAUCAGCCCGCCUUGGAAGCCUUGCGAGUGGUAUGAUAGUUUCACCAAUCACCUCAUCUUUGUUUUGUGCUACACGGUCUUCUACUGAUAUGAUCAAGUCGUCCUCAAAAGGCUCUGCUGCGACAAACAUCAGCUCCUCAUUCCACAUGAAGUUUCUGGUUGGUGAGCGAACUUGCCUUGUCUUCAACAAUUGAUGGCCCAGUCUCACUUUUACCAGUACAUCAGGUAUGUGGUUCUCCAUUGGGUAUAUAUCAUGUGCCUCAAUUACAUUGACUCUCACAUACCACAUUCUUGGCGCAGGGUAAACCUUCCCACGGAUAUAAUUGUGAAGAUGGGAUUCAACUGGUGUUGACCCUGCAUGAAUGGCGCUUGG
This 416-nucleotide long non-coding RNA is filed under the name Sorghum bicolor (sorghum). RNAcentral's name for it is "long non-coding RNA (SBIC_LNC003762)". The record is from RNAcentral. Lineage: Eukaryota; Viridiplantae; Streptophyta; Magnoliopsida; Poales; Poaceae.